ACGGAAGGCAGCAGUGGGGGAUAUUGCACAAUGGGGGAAACCCUGAUGCAGCAAUGCCGCGUGAGGGAAGAAGGUCUUCGGAUUGUAAACCUAAGUAGUCAGGGAUGAAGAAAGUGACAUUACCUGAAGAGUAAGCUCCGGCUAACUACGUGCCAGCAGCCGCGGUAAUACGUAGGGAGCAAGCGUUAUCCGGAUUUACUGGGUGUAAAGGGCGUGUAGGCGGGACAUCAAGUCAGAUGUGAAAGCACGAGGCUCAACUUCGUGUCUGCAUUUGAAACUGACGUUCUUGAGUGUUGGAGAGGCUAACGGAACUCCUAGUGUAGCGGUGAAAUGCGUAGAUAUUAGGAAGAACACCAGUGGCGAAGGCGGUUAGCUGGACAAUAACUGACGCUGAGGCGCGAAAGCGUGGGUAGCAAACAGGAUUAGAUACCCUGGUA
Molecule: ribosomal RNA, 437 nt
Filed under: uncultured Oscillospiraceae bacterium
Lineage: Bacteria; Bacillati; Bacillota; Clostridia; Eubacteriales; Oscillospiraceae
Description: bacterial SSU rRNA
Rfam family: Bacterial small subunit ribosomal RNA
Source: RNAcentral